Molecule: ribosomal RNA, 497 nt
Filed under: uncultured bacterium
Lineage: Bacteria
Description: partial 16S ribosomal RNA
Rfam family: Bacterial small subunit ribosomal RNA
Source: RNAcentral
GAUGAACGCUGGCGGCGUGCCUAAUACAUGCAAGUCGAGCGAACAGACGAGGAGCUUGCUCCUCUGACGUUAGCGGCGGACGGGUGAGUAACACGUGGAUAACCUACCUAUAAGACUGGGAUAACUUCGGGAAACCGGAGCUAAUACCGGAUAAUAUAUUGAACCGCAUGGUUCAAUAGUGAAAGACAGUUUUGCUGUCACUUAUAGAUGGAUCCGCGCCGCAUUAGCUAGUUGGUAAGGUAACGGCUUACCAAGGCGACGAUGCGUAGCCGACCUGAGAGGGUGAUCGGCCACACUGGAACUGAGACACGGUCCAGACUCCUUCGGGAGGCAGCAGUAGGGAAUCUUCCGCAAUGGGCGAAAGCCUGACGGAGCAACGCCGCGUGAGUGAUGAAGGUCUUCGGAUCGUAAAACUCUGUUAUUAGGGAAGAACAAAUGUGUAAGUAACUAUGCACGUCUUGACGGUACCUAAUCAGAAAGCCACGGCUAACUACGUG